UGUUGGGAAAUAUACACAAAUACUUCCGCCCAUUAUCAAAUCGAAAGCAAUAUCAAAGAUAUAAAUUAUCUAAGACGGAAAAAAAUAAUGACACCGAUAUUUAACGUGGUUCGGCCAAACUGCCUACGUCCACGGACCCACCCCAAUAUAUUAGAGAAUCUCACAAAGGAGGAGUACAACAAUACCACACUGUAUUUUGUAUCUUGCCUACACAGAGGCUAUCUCUCGACUCACUUUUAUCACUCGUGUUUAACUUCCACACUGAAGUUUUCUCUCACUAUAUUUUCUCACUCUCUAACACUUCUUUCACAAGACUUCUUUUGUGAAUUUGGGAUACGCUUCAAGUUGCUGCGAUGCACAUAUUUAUAGCCUCCAUUUGUUGAUUCCACCUCACAUCCCAACUUUCUCAAAGUUAAUGGGGCUGCACUUUCCUCUUUGGUGGUGGCAAAGUUGUGGUGGUGGCAAACAACUUUCUCAAAGUUAAUGGUGGUGGAGCCUCCAUGUUUUGGCUAACAAUUUUAGAGGUUAUGAUGGGAUGAUAGUAUAUGACACGUUGUGUUGGGGAAGAAUGAAAUGUAAAUUUGCUUCAAAACUCUAAAUGCAGAUUGACAAAUAAUCUGAAAAAAAAAAAUUCAAAUUCACUUUUUUUGUUUCUCAUCGCUUUCUCCCUACCAAACCCUGUUUGCAGAUGGCCUCAAAAUGUACCGCGAAGCUCCUCCAUUCCAUGGUAGAAUUUAAAAUGUCAAGUAAAUAAAGAAAAGU
This 762-nucleotide long non-coding RNA is filed under the name Salvia miltiorrhiza (redroot sage). RNAcentral's name for it is "long non-coding RNA (SMIL_LNC010230)". The record is from RNAcentral. Lineage: Eukaryota; Viridiplantae; Streptophyta; Magnoliopsida; Lamiales; Lamiaceae.